RNAcentral lists this ribosomal RNA (355 nucleotides) under uncultured bacterium. Its description in RNAcentral is "bacterial SSU rRNA". It matches the Rfam family "Bacterial small subunit ribosomal RNA", at positions 8 to 350 of the family's 1533-position model. The record is from RNAcentral.
AGAGUUUGAUCAUGGCUCAGGAUGAACGCUAGCUACAGGCUUAACACAUGCAAGUCGAGGGGAAACGACAUCGAAAGCUUGCUUUUGAUGGGCGUCGACCGGCGCACGGGUGAGUAACGCGUAUCCAACCUGCCCACCACUUGGGGAUAACCUUGCGAAAGUAAGACUAAUACCCAAUGACGUCUCUAGAAGACAUCUGAAGGAGAUUAAAGAUUUAUCGGUGAUGGAUGGGGAUGCGUCUGAUUAGCUUGUUGGCGGGGUAACGGCCGACCAAGGCGACGAUCAGUAGGGGUUCUGGAGAGGAAGGUCCCCANACUUGGAACUGAGACACGGUCCAAACUCCUAACGGGAGGAA